UACAUCAUCAUUUUACAGGGCUUGAG
This 26-nucleotide small RNA is filed under the name Bombyx mori (domestic silkworm). Its description in RNAcentral is "ovarian small RNA-20389". The record is from RNAcentral. Lineage: Eukaryota; Metazoa; Arthropoda; Insecta; Lepidoptera; Bombycidae.